Molecule: long non-coding RNA, 712 nt
Organism: Bradysia coprophila
Lineage: Eukaryota; Metazoa; Arthropoda; Insecta; Diptera; Sciaridae
Source: RefSeq, a predicted model, not a curated record
GAAAAAUGCAUAUUGAUAAAUUCUUCCGCUUAAUUUAAAAAAAAAACGAUUUACAAGAUUUUUCGAACAAAGGUCUAUAGAGUAACUGGGCGGGUAUUACCCGCCUAUAAUCACUCUAUCAACCAAUUUUAAUUUAUCAGUUGAAAUGCUACCGAUUGAAGAACAUCAAUAUUACGUGUCUGAAUCUAUGUGGAGGUGGAUAAUAACAACAAACCUAUCUCUACUCUCAUUGUGUUUAUGUGAAGUCUUUCUAUCACAACAAAACACGAACCUGAACUCAUAUGUGUUGUACAGUCGUUUUGACUAACCAAUAAAGAAACCAGAACUUAACUGUUACUAAAAAAAGGAUUAAAAAAUAAAUAGAAGAAAACUUACUGUAUCCACCCCAGAACGUGCGGUGUAUACAUCUCUGCAUUUUCCAUUUUGAUCAGGCUUUUGACCGACCGGGCAAACCACAGGCACAUCAAUAACAUUUCUCUGCAAAUUUAAAUGUAAAAAUAAAUGCAAAAUACAUCCGAUAGAGACGUUAGUCUUAAAGAUUGUGACUAAGUUCAAUUUUUCGUGAACAUAAAUGGAGUGAAAAUGAUGAAAUAUAUCACACUCGUCCCAAACUUACAUCGUCCACGUCACUCAAAGUCCAUACUUCUCUGCAUUUACCGUUUUGAUCAGGCUUUUGACCGACGGGACAAACAACAGGUACAUCUAUGACGUU